ACAAGGAGAGGGGCUUUGUGUCUUGUUUCACACUGUGUCCCCAGGCUUAGAAUAUUCUGGCAUCAGAAGGCACUCAGUAAACAUAGAGAGGAAGAAAGGAAGAAGAUGAAAUCAGGAGUACAGAUUAAAGUGUUAUCUUUGGAAGACAGGCAAGACAUCCUUUGGGACAGAAGGGAAGGAGAGAAAGCUGGGGAACAUGCAGAUAAUACAAGAGGUGCGGUUUGUGACUGAUGGCUGCUAUUUUCUCUGUGAGACUGAAUCCAGACAACUUUGGACAUUCCUUCAUUUGAAGAAUUUUUACUGAACAAUUACAGACCAUUGAUUGAUACAGUGAAGAUCAGAAUGGCAUAGUUUUCCUGUCUUCAUGGAGAUGAAUGAAUGAACUGUAUUUUUUAUUAGCCUAAGCAUGAAUUCUUCCCAAAUUUCCUCCAUGAACCAUAGGAUCCUACCUCUUAACCAUUUUAUGAAAAUUCUAUGGUGAAUUGAGGUCCUCAAGUUGUCUGACAAUAUCUGAUUUUGCCACGGUCAUGUGGGAAAAGUAGGCAUGUGAGCAAGUCAUAGUUUUACUUGUUUGGAAGAUUCUUCUAAUUAUGUCAAGAUGAAAGGUUUUAUACUGUGUAGAAGGCAGUGUGAGAGAAGUGGACAGUAGAACUCCUAUUUGGUGGGCCAGUGGCUAUAUUUUAAAAUAUGAAGGA
RNAcentral lists this long non-coding RNA (695 nucleotides) under Homo sapiens (human). RNAcentral describes it as "non-protein coding lnc-SAMSN1-3:4". The record is from RNAcentral. Lineage: Eukaryota; Metazoa; Chordata; Mammalia; Primates; Hominidae.